UGUGCCGUCAGGAUCCAAGAUCCCUUUUGUAUCUCUGCUCCGAUGCUCUAGUUUGAGACUGCUUUUGUUAUCAGAGGGGGAAGAGACUGGCUCUCCACAGCUGCGGUAUGCUCCAGGAGUGGCUACACACAGCUCAGAGGGAAGAAUGCAGGGCCCUGGGUCCUUCCGCACGGGGAAGAAGCUGAAGAAUGGGCCAUCUGGGCAAACAUAGGCGUGUGGUCUGGAGAUGA
Molecule: long non-coding RNA, 230 nt
Organism: Mastomys coucha (southern multimammate mouse)
Lineage: Eukaryota; Metazoa; Chordata; Mammalia; Rodentia; Muridae
Exons: 2
Source: RefSeq, a predicted model, not a curated record